This 253-nucleotide ribosomal RNA is filed under the name uncultured bacterium. RNAcentral describes it as "partial 16S ribosomal RNA". It matches the Rfam family "Bacterial small subunit ribosomal RNA", at positions 524 to 776 of the family's 1533-position model. The record is from RNAcentral.
GACGUAGGGCGCGAGCGUUGUCCGGAUUUAUUGGGCGUAAAGCGCUCGCAGGUGGUUCGUCGCGUCGUGCGUGAAAGACCCCGGCUCAACUGGGGAGGGUCGUGCGAUACGGGCGGACUGGAGGCCAGUAGGGGGAUGCGGAAUUCCGGGUGUAGCAGUGAAAUGCGUAGAGAUCGGGAGGAACAUCCGUGGCGAAGGCGACUACCUGGACCAGCACUGACACUGAGGCACGAAAGCGUGGGGAGCAAACAGG